AACGAACGCUGGCGGCAUGCCUAACACAUGCAAGUCGAACGAGACCUUCGGGUCUAGUGGCGCACGGGUGCGUAACGCGUGGGAACCUGCCUUUAGGUUCGGAGUAACUCAGAGAAAUUUGAGCUAAUACCGGAUGAUGUCUUCGGACCAAAGAUUUAUCGCCUUUAGAUGGGCCCGCGUUGGAUUAGCUAGUUGGUGGGGUAAAGGCCUACCAAGGCGACGAUCCAUAGCUGGUCUGAGAGGAUGAUCAGCCACACUGGGACUGAGACACGGCCCAGACUCCUACGGGAGGCAGCAGUGGGGAAUAUUGGACAAUGGGCGAAAGCCUGAUCCAGCAAUGCCGCGGGAGUGAUGAAGGCCUUAGGGUUGUAAAGCUCUUUUACCCGAGAUGAUAAUGACAGUAUCGGGAGAAUAAGCGCCGGCUAACUCCGU
RNAcentral lists this ribosomal RNA (432 nucleotides) under uncultured bacterium. Its description in RNAcentral is "partial 16S ribosomal RNA". It matches the Rfam family "Bacterial small subunit ribosomal RNA", at positions 29 to 506 of the family's 1533-position model. The record is from RNAcentral.